CGGACGGGUGAGUAAUGUCUGGGAAACUGCCUGAUGGAGGGGGAUAACUACUGGAAACGGUAGCUAAUACCGCAUAACGUCGCAAGACCAAAGAGGGGGACCUUCGGGCCUCUUGCCAUCGGAUGUGCCCAGAUGGGACUAGCUAGUAGGUGGGGUAACGGCUCACCUAGGCGACGAUCCCUAGCUGGUCUGAGAGGAUGACCAGCCACACUGGAACUGAGACACGGUCCAG
This 232-nucleotide ribosomal RNA is filed under the name uncultured bacterium. RNAcentral's name for it is "partial 16S ribosomal RNA". It matches the Rfam family "Bacterial small subunit ribosomal RNA", at positions 99 to 334 of the family's 1533-position model. The record is from RNAcentral.